RNAcentral lists this ribosomal RNA (320 nucleotides) under uncultured Prevotella sp. RNAcentral describes it as "partial 16S ribosomal RNA". Lineage: Bacteria; Pseudomonadati; Bacteroidota; Bacteroidia; Bacteroidales; Prevotellaceae. The record is from RNAcentral.
GGAGUCUGGUCCGUGUCUCAGUACCAGUGUGGGGGACCUUCCUCUCAGAACCCCUACUGAUCGUUGCCCCGGUGGGCCGUUACCCCGCCGGCAAGCUAAUCAGACGCAUCCCCAUCCCUUACCGAUGAAUCUUUGCUCCUCAUCUGAUGCCAUCAAAGGAGAACAUAGAGUAUUAAUCCGACUUUCGCCGGGCUGUCCUCUACUAAGGGGAAGGUUGGAUACGCGUUACUCACCCGUGCGCCGGUCGCCGACAAAGAAAGCAAGCUUUCUUCUCGCUGCCCCUCGACUUGCAUGUGUUAAGCCUGUAGCUAGCGUUCAUC